GGGGAAUUUUGGACAAUGGGCGCAAGCCUGAUCCAGUCAUGCCGCGUGAGUGAAGAAGGACUUCGUGUUGUAAAGCUCUUUCGGCCGGAACGAAAUCGUGCGGGCUAAUACCUCGCAUGGAUGACGGUACCGGAAGAAGAAGCACCGGCUAACUACGUGCCAGCAGCCGCGGUAAUACGUAGGGUGCAGGCGUUAAUCGGAAUUACUGGGCGUAAAGCGUGCGCAGGCGGCUUCUCAAGUCAGAUGUGAAAUCCCCGGGCUUAACCUGGGAACUGCGUUUGAAACUGGGAGGCUAGAGUGCGGCAGAGGGGGGUGGAAUUCCACGUGUAGCAGUGAAAUGCGUAGAUAUGUGGAGGAACACCGAUGGCGAAGGCAGCCCCCUGGGCCAGCACUGACGCUCAUGCACGAAAGCGUGGGGAGCAAACA
This 426-nucleotide ribosomal RNA is filed under the name uncultured beta proteobacterium. RNAcentral's name for it is "bacterial SSU rRNA". It matches the Rfam family "Bacterial small subunit ribosomal RNA", at positions 356 to 774 of the family's 1533-position model. The record is from RNAcentral. Lineage: Bacteria; Pseudomonadati; Pseudomonadota; Betaproteobacteria.